This 345-nucleotide ribosomal RNA is filed under the name uncultured bacterium. RNAcentral's name for it is "bacterial SSU rRNA". It matches the Rfam family "Bacterial small subunit ribosomal RNA", at positions 1026 to 1377 of the family's 1533-position model. The record is from RNAcentral.
AUCGUAACACAGGUGCUGCAUGGCUGUCGUCAGCUCGUGUCGUGAGAUGUUGGGUUAAGUCCCGCAACGAGCGCAACCCUUGUCAUUAGUUGCUACGAAAGGGCACUCUAAUGGGACUGCCGGUGACAAACCGGAGGAAGGUGGGGAUGACGUCAAGUCCUCAUGGCCCUUAUGGGUGGGGCUACACACGUCAUACAAUGGUUGGUACAAAGGGUUGCCAACCCGCGAGGGGGAGCCAAUCCCAUAAAGCCAAUCGUAGUCCGGAUUGUUCUCUGCAACUCGACUGCAUGAAGUCGGAAUCGCUAGUAAUCGUGGAUCAGCAUGUCGCGGUGAAUACGUUCCCGG